CGGAAGGCAGCAGUGAGGAAUAUUGGUCAAUGGACGAGAGUCUGAACCAGCCAAGUAGCGUGCAGGAUGACGGCCCUAUGGGUUGUAAACUGCUUUUGUACGGGAAUAAAGUGACCUACGUGUAGGUUUUUGCAUGUACCGUAAGAAUAAGGACCGGCUAAUUCCGUGCCAGCAGCCGCGGUAAUACGGAAGGUCCGGGCGUUAUCCGGAUUUAUUGGGUUUAAAGGGAGCGUAGGCCGUGCUUUAAGCGUGUUGUGAAAUGUAGGCGCCCAACGUCUGCACUGCAGCGCGAACUGGAGCACGUGAGUACGCAGGAAGUAGGCGGAAUUCGUCGUGUAGCGGUGAAAUGCUUAGAUAUGACGAAGAACUCCGAUUGGGAAGCCAGCUUACUGUAGCGCCACUGACGCUGAUGCUCGAAAGCGUGGGUAUCGAACAGGAUUAGAUACCCUGGUA
Molecule: ribosomal RNA, 453 nt
Filed under: uncultured Prevotella sp.
Lineage: Bacteria; Pseudomonadati; Bacteroidota; Bacteroidia; Bacteroidales; Prevotellaceae
Description: partial 16S ribosomal RNA
Rfam family: Bacterial small subunit ribosomal RNA
Source: RNAcentral